GAGAAGUGUGCAACUCGAAACGAG
RNAcentral lists this non-coding RNA (24 nucleotides) under Arabidopsis thaliana (thale cress). Lineage: Eukaryota; Viridiplantae; Streptophyta; Magnoliopsida; Brassicales; Brassicaceae. The record is from RNAcentral.